Castor canadensis (American beaver) is the source of this 1918-nucleotide non-coding RNA. NCBI's taxonomy places the organism in Eukaryota, Metazoa, Chordata, Mammalia, Rodentia, Castoridae. The record is from RefSeq and is a predicted model, not a curated record.
UUCAUUGUAUUCGAUACUUAAAAUUUCCUUAUUUUUAAACUAUAAUUAUUUUUAAUUUCUCUGAUUUCUCAGUAGUAGGCCUCUAUGUGGAUUUGGUUAUGGCCUGUAUUUGCAUGACAGAUUGACAAACACUAAUGAAUCCCCAUUUCUUUCCUGGGGUGCUCUGCAGGUGUUGCUCUCCUGCCUUCUGUUGUGUGUUACUCCUUAGCCUGAUUCUGUUGUUUCUAGUGUGGCUUUGUUUCUGUAGCAGUUUCCUACUCCCACUCUGUUCCCCUGAGCUGUGCUGGCUUAUUUUGACUUUCUCUUCUUUUCUUUCAUCUUUGUCUGUCUUUCAAGCUUCUCAUUCUCUUAGAGAUAAUAGGAUAGUAUAAUAUAAUAAUAUAAUACAAACUUUCUUUUCUCAUUCAUAUGUUGUGCAUUCUUUCUGCUUUUAAAUUAUUUUCUUUUGUUAUUUAGCCGUAUAGUAUUUUCCUAUGGCCUCUGUUUCCUGUCCCAUUUGACUAUUUCUCAUAUUUGAAAAAGGGAAUUUUGUUGUUAUUGCUUUGUGUUUCAACAGCAUCCUGUAAGAGUAAUGUGGGGAGUGUGUUGAUUGAUUGUGUGUCAUCUUGCUGCAUACCCUGUGCUUCGUCAUGUUUUGCACAGCUUUCUCAGCAUUCCUUUUCUCUUGGAGACAAAGCAUCAACUCUAAAAGGCUAGCAGUGAUGUUCUUGUCUGCAUGUUUUUAGGAUUUCCUUGUCCUUCCUGUGGAUGGGUUCUGAGCCUCUUCCUCAGUCUCCACACUGAUGACUUUUUGUUGGAUGCUUUAGAGAAAUACUUCCAACUAUGGAGAGCUGUGCCUUUAGGACCAAAUCUGCGGAGUCAUUUUGGACCAAAUUUCUCUUCAUAGUUUGUACUUUGGUGUUAGGACUUUUCUACUUUUCAUUUUGAGAGAAGAAUGGAAUGUAGAAAUAUCUUUGUUUUGGCUUUUUAACUAUAUGUCUUUUUGUUUUUGGUUUUUUUUUCUUCCUCAAGGGCAUUUUAACUCUGAAAUUAGAGGCUUAUAAGUAAUUUGUUUCUGGUUAUGUGAUGUGGUAAGCCUUAUCCCAAAUGUUUAGGAACUUAGGAGUAAUGAUUCUACUAGCUGUAUUAACUUUAGCUCUAAACAGUCUAGAAGGAGAUUUAUUUUUCUUGGAAUUUUUCAACAUUUUUACUUUUUUUUAAGGAUUUUGGAAUAAGAGCAUUCUAGUAUUUAUGUGAAAAUUAGCAUUUUAUAGUAAAAAUUAGAACACUAAUUUCUAAAGUGGUAUAUUAAAUGUUAAUAUGUCUUAUAAAUUCAUCUGCUUGGGAGACAGAGAUCAGGAGGAUUGUGAUUCGAAGCCAGCCCGGGGCAAAUAGUUCGAGAGACCCUAUUGAAAAAUACCCAAACAAAAAAGGCUGGUGGAGGGUGGCGGCGCGAGAGCAGAGUCCGAGCUGCGGCGGCCCGCGAGUCAUGGCAGGAAAAGCAUUUAGAAAGUUUCUUCCGCUGUUUGACCGAGUAUUGGUAGAAAGGAAUGCAGCCGAGACGGUGACUAAAGGUGGCAUUAUGCUUCCAGAAAAAUCUCAAGGAAAAGUGUUGCAAGCAACAGUAGUGGUUGUGGGGUCAGGCUCCAAAGGAAAGGAUGGAGAGAUCCAACCUGUUAGUGUACAAGUUGGAGAUAAAGUUCUUCUGCCAGAAUAUGGAGGCACCAAAGUGGUUCUAGAUGACAAGGAUUAUUUCUUAUUUAGAGAUGGUGCCAUUCUUGGAAAGUACGUAGACUGAAAUAAAUCACUGAGAUGGCAUCACAUGAAGCUGCCCAUUCCACUGACGUCCUGAAAUCUUUCAUCAUGUAAAUAAUUUCCAUGUGUCUCCCUUUUAUAAUAAACCAAUGAUACCUAAACUGAAAAAAAAAAAAAAAAAAAA